This 68-nucleotide transfer RNA is filed under the name Marmota monax (woodchuck). RNAcentral's name for it is "tRNA.Ala". Lineage: Eukaryota; Metazoa; Chordata; Mammalia; Rodentia; Sciuridae. The record is from RNAcentral.
GGAUUGUAGCUCAGUGGUAGAGCGCUCAUCUAGCACGUGCGAGGCCUGGGGUUUGAUCCUCAGCACCA